GACGAACGCUGGCGGCGUGCUUAACACAUGCAAGUCGAACGGAAAGGCCCUGCUUUUGUGGGGUGCUCGAGUGGCGAACGGGUGAGUAACACGUGAGUAACCUGCCCUUGACUUUGGGAUAACUUCAGGAAACUGGGGCUAAUACCGGAUAGGAGCUCCUGCUGCAUGGUGGGGGCUGGAAAGUUUCGGCGGUUGGGGAUGGACUCGCGGCUUAUCAGCUUGUUGGUGGGGUAGUGGCUUACCAAGGCUUUGACGGGUAGCCGGCCUGAGAGGGUGACCGGCCACAUUGGGACUGAGAUACGGCGCAGACUCCUACGGGAGGCAGCAGUGGGGAAUAUUGCACAAUGGGCGGAAGCCUGAUGCAGCAACGCCGCGUGCGGGAUGACGGCCUUCGGGUUGUAAACCGCUUUCGCCUGUGACGAAGCGUGAGUGACGGUAAUGGGUAAAGAAGCACCGGCUAACUACGUG
This 468-nucleotide ribosomal RNA is filed under the name uncultured bacterium. RNAcentral's name for it is "partial 16S ribosomal RNA". It matches the Rfam family "Bacterial small subunit ribosomal RNA", at positions 28 to 507 of the family's 1533-position model. The record is from RNAcentral.